This 465-nucleotide unclassified non-coding RNA is filed under the name Hevea brasiliensis (rubber tree). Lineage: Eukaryota; Viridiplantae; Streptophyta; Magnoliopsida; Malpighiales; Euphorbiaceae. The record is from RNAcentral.
GCCCUAAAACCAAUCCAAGAACCUUAAUUGUAGCUGGUAAGGCCAUAAUCCCGGCCCCAAUAAUAGUUGUGGUGAGAUUAAAAACCGCACCAUAAAUCCCAGACUCGCUGUUGGAUUUGGAAAGAACAAGUGGAUAAUUAUCAAUAUCAAAAUCAUCAUCAUCAUCAUCACCACCUAAAAUUCCAGCAUUCUCGAUCCUGGGAUCUCCAAAGUUCUCCUCAUCAUUAAGAGGGAGCAAUUUGACGUGGGUUUUUCGAGGGUGUAUUGGGAUCUCAGGAUCAUGAUUCAAUUGUAAUUCUACAAACGAAUUCUUGGGAAUAGCUGUGUAAUUGCUAUCCAUUAAAUAUACAAAACAAAGAAUGAAUCUAAUUGAUAUAGAACCUUUGCAGAUCUUGAAAUGCAGAAAAAGGGAAAAGAAAAUGGAAGCGAAAGCUUACAGAGAGAUUAAGAGAGGCCCCAAGAUCU